UACGGAGGGUCCGAGCGUUAUCCGGAUUUAUUGGGUUUAAAGGGAGCGUAGAUGGGUUUUUAAGUCAGUUGUGAAAGUUUGCGGCUCAACCGUAAAAUUGCAAUUGAAACUGGAGACCUUGAGUAUAGUUGAGGUGGGCGGAAUUCGUGGUGUAGCGGUGAAAUGCUUAGAUAUCACGAAGAACUCCGAUUGCGAAGGCAGCUCACUAAGCUAUAACUGACAUUGAGGCUCGAAAGUGUGGGUAUCAAACAGG
This 253-nucleotide ribosomal RNA is filed under the name uncultured bacterium. RNAcentral describes it as "partial 16S ribosomal RNA". It matches the Rfam family "Bacterial small subunit ribosomal RNA", at positions 524 to 776 of the family's 1533-position model. The record is from RNAcentral.